This 66-nucleotide transfer RNA is filed under the name Deielia phaon. Its description in RNAcentral is "tRNA-Asn". Lineage: Eukaryota; Metazoa; Arthropoda; Insecta; Odonata; Libellulidae. The record is from RNAcentral.
UUAGUUGAAGCCAAAGCAGAGGCAUAUCACUGUUAAUGAUAAAACUGAAACAUAUUUCCAACUAAA